UCGGGAAUUUUGGGCAAUGGGGGAAACCCUGACCCAGCAACGCCGCGUGAAGGAUGCAGUUUUUCGGAAUGUAAACUUCGUAAGAAUAGGAAGAAUCAAUGACGGUACUAUUUGUAAGCUCCGGCUAACUACGUGCCAGCAGCCGCGGUAAUACGUAGGGGGCAAGCGUUGUUCGGAUUUACUGGGCGUAAAGGGCGCGUAGGCGGCGUGGUAAGUCACUUGUGAAAUCUCUGAGCUUAACUCAGAACGGCCAAGUGAUACUGCUGUGCUAGAGUGCAGAAAGGGCAGCCGGAAUUCUUGGUGUAGCGGUGAAAUGCGUAGAUAUCAAGAGGAACACCUGAGGCGAAGGCGGGUUGCUAGGCUGACACUGACGCUGAGGCGCGAAAGCCAGGGGAGCAA
RNAcentral lists this ribosomal RNA (399 nucleotides) under uncultured bacterium. Its description in RNAcentral is "bacterial SSU rRNA". It matches the Rfam family "Bacterial small subunit ribosomal RNA", at positions 355 to 771 of the family's 1533-position model. The record is from RNAcentral.